UAAUGUUUAUGAAGGUACUCUGCAAAAUGAUAUUAAACUACAAAAUUGUUACUAAGAAAAUCUAUAGGAAAUUACAUACAGCAUGUCUUGGAUACUUAAGCAACUGUGAAAUAAUAAAAUUAACUGACCUAGAUCUAAUCUCCAUUUUUACUAUGCUACUUAUUGUGCAGAACAUUUAUUAACUGGAAGUAGUACAUCCCUACAGAGCUAGUGCUGGGGUUCUUACAGUGACCAGUGCUAGGAAAUGCGUAUUAUCAAAAUAUAUAUUUACAGUAGGAUACAAAAACCACAGCUCAUCAUUACUAGAUGGGGAUAUAAUCCUAUAAACUCUAUUUAAAAGAUGACUUGAGCAGUAUGGAAAAUGGCAGAAUAAGGAAUCGUUUCAAGAAAAUUCAAAAAAUUAUUUUUGGUUCUCAAAGGCAGAAGAUGAGUUUGUCUAUUGGCCAAGUCGAGGAGAAUCCAUGAACUGUGAGGCUUUUACUGUCACCCUUAUCAGCAAAGACAGACUGUGCCUCUCUAGUGAAAAACAAAUUAUCAUCCAUGACUUUAUCCUUGAAGCAACACAGGUGGAAACUGAGAAGGAUCAGAGAUGAAAUGAUUGAACCUGAGCCCAUGAAGGUCCUACUGGCAGUGCCAACACCCAGUUCUUCAGAUGCCAGACCAAGUGUCCCAUGCUCCAUUGUGUGCAGCUCAGAAAUCACAAGGGGCGAGAGAGCUCUGACUUCUGACUGCUGAUCCCAUCCAGAAGACAAAGAACAUCCUGAAGAAUCAUCUCCAUUCAUCGGCCUUUUCUCUACCACUAGUUCUAUUCUUUCAUAGAAAUACACUUUGGUUACAAAUACAAUGAACUCUUUCACUUGGUUCUACUCAGGAAAGAAUGCUUAUAAAAUUCACAAUUGAAAUAAACAAAAAUUUCCAGUUAUUAUUAUGUUAUGCUUACAAGAAAUGUAGAUUGAGUUUACAAAAAUUUCUGUGAAGGAAAAUUUAGGUUUCAAGAAAUUAAUUUCUAGUCUUGAAAUAUACUUCAUAUUCCUUGGAGAACCCAUGCUGAUUAUUAGAAGGUAAAUCAUUGGUGUGUUUACCAAAUUGUUUGACAGGAAUGGCUUCCAUGUUACUUGAGGAAAUAAAAUGAUAUUCAAAGCCACAUAGAAUAUUUCCUAAAAGCAAAUGACACCAAUAAAACAAAUCAUACUUACUCAA
Molecule: non-coding RNA, 1200 nt
Organism: Heterocephalus glaber (naked mole-rat)
Lineage: Eukaryota; Metazoa; Chordata; Mammalia; Rodentia; Bathyergidae
Source: RefSeq, a predicted model, not a curated record